This 243-nucleotide unclassified non-coding RNA is filed under the name Glomeraceae sp. Its description in RNAcentral is "partial contains 5.8S ribosomal RNA and internal transcribed spacer 2". The stretch from base 1 to 71 matches the Rfam family "5.8S ribosomal RNA", at positions 84 to 154 of the family's 154-position model. Lineage: Eukaryota; Fungi; Glomeromycota; Glomeromycetes; Glomerales; Glomeraceae. The record is from RNAcentral.
GUGAAUCAUCAAAUUUUUGAACGCAAAUUGCACUCUCUGGUAUUCCGGGGAGUAUGCCUGUUUGAGGGUCAGUUUUAAUAAAAAUCGGUGUGGUUGCUGAAUUUUGUGGUGACGUAAGUGAUUUGGGUCGUAUUGCCUUUGGUUAAGUGACUUAAAAUUUUGCAUGAAUUUUUGGAAUGUGUUUUAAUGAUUUUACGUUUGUUUGCGAUAUUGUUUAUUAGGUGAGGUUAUUCUAUUGAUUCG